This is a non-coding RNA of Salmo salar (Atlantic salmon), 54 nucleotides long. NCBI's taxonomy places the organism in Eukaryota, Metazoa, Chordata, Actinopteri, Salmoniformes, Salmonidae. The record is from Rfam.
UGCAUUCACUACUGUAAGUCACUCUGGAUAAGAGCGUCUACUAAAUUAAUAAAA